AUGCCCCCAGGAACCGAUGGAUGUGGUGGCGCUGUUCGGUCUGAGGGGCAUCCAGCACACUCCCAUCAGCAUCAAGAAUGCCCGCGUGUCUCAGCACUACAAGGCCAGCCUCACUGCCACAUUCAACCUGUUUCCGGAGGCCAAGUUUGCUGUGGUCCUGGAAGAGGACCUGGACAUUGCCGUGGAUUUUUUCAGGUGAGGGAGGUUUCUAGGUUUCAGGUGAGGUCCCUGGGUCUCUAGGAGAGAAAGCAGCAGGGUGUCUUGGGAGCUUUCUGGAGGAAGUGAGCUCAAAAUGGGAGAAAGCCUGAGCAGAGGCAGGAUGGUGGGUGCUGGGGCUGGAGCAAAAGGUAGAAGGAUGAAUGGAAACAGCAGAGAUUUGGGGGUUGACUCCUGAGUCCCAGCUCUUCCAGCUUCACUGCGUGACUGGGUUUGUCCUUGCCCCUUUCUCGACUCUUGGACCUUGGCUCUCUCAGUUUCCUGAGCCAAUCCAUCCACCUACUGGAGGAGGAUGACAGCCUGUACUGCAUCUCUGCCUGGAAUGACCAGGUAGGCUGGGUGGCCAGGGGUUGGGAGGCGGGUUUCUUGAGGCCACAAGCUAAUACAGCUCCCUGCCCCCAGGGGUAUGAACAUACAGCUGAGGAC
This 642-nucleotide long non-coding RNA is filed under the name Microcebus murinus (gray mouse lemur). RNAcentral describes it as "lncRNA (ENSMICG00000048825.1)". The record is from RNAcentral. Lineage: Eukaryota; Metazoa; Chordata; Mammalia; Primates; Cheirogaleidae.